Molecule: non-coding RNA, 967 nt
Organism: Lolium perenne
Lineage: Eukaryota; Viridiplantae; Streptophyta; Magnoliopsida; Poales; Poaceae
Source: RefSeq, a predicted model, not a curated record
GAAUGAAAGAUCUGGAGACCUCACCGUCGGUCUCAUCCUCUCGAUCUCACCAUGUCAGUCUCAUCCUGUCUCACUCUCUCAGCCAUUCCAUGUCUCUGCCGGCGAUCCCCGCGAUGGAGGGGAGGGGCGGCGACGGAGGGAAGUGACGUAGGCGGCGGCGUUCUGUUUCAACCUGGAUCGGCCGACCGGGGCAGCGACGGAGGGAUGCGACGUAGGCGGCGGCGUUCUGUUUCAACCUGGAUCGGCCAGCCGGGGCAACGACGGAGGGGACGUGGCCCGCGAGGGGAGGAGCGUCAGCAGCGGCAUUUGGACGUGGCCGGAGAUGGUGAUAAGCCACUAAGUAACCCUGCUGUUCCCAGGCGAACACAACAUGAACAUCUAUUUCAUUGGCGGAAGAAUCACCGGAUUUUGUACCCUGUUUCCGAGGCGCUGUUGGCUAUUUGCUGGCGGCGAAGAGUUUACGAUCAUCGCGGUUCAUAGGUGCUGUGUCAAUGGCGCUUGACAGCGGCGAGGUGUAGAUGGUGACAAGCACACCGGAGUCGAGUAGUGUUGAUGCAAGGCGGCGGCGAGUACAGGUGAGUCAGUACUAUGAGUCACUUCUGCUAGAAGUCGAAGCGGAGAAUGAGCGAGAAGUUCUGCUGGUACUCCGAAAGAUGUGGGCAUUAAACUCCAAUAGUUGCAGACAAAGGUUGAUUGUUUGACUAAGCUGCCAUCAUUAUAUGAGAAAGUUGUAUAGUUAGAGGUAUGGCAAAGAAUGAAUUCACCGGAUGAGUGUAGAUGAUAACAAAUUUUGGAAUUUGUUCCGCUGAUGCAUGGUGCCAACAUCAGUACCUUGAUUUUUUCCAGUUCACGUCUUAAUCUCUGUCAAAUAACCAGAUGAAAUAAUUCAAUGAAACACCCUUCUCAACAACCAAUAUCUUCUCAUCAUUUAAAAGAAUUGCUGAGUGCGACUUGGAUGGAGGCUGAA